CUCGCGAGAUGUUGUGAAUUUACUCCUCGAGAGUUUUCCCUCCAGUGAAAGCAGCAAAUGAACGUUUUUCCACACCGUCUGAGACGUCUGUCGUGAAUAGUGUAACAUUGGCAAGAACUGUCACGAUCGUACCAGCAUGAUGGCGAAUCAAAUUGAAAUACGUUCACGAUGAACGGAUGGAAAUGUCAACGCCUGCGUGAAGCUUAAUCUGACGAUGUAUGAACUCCAAAGCCAUCAGCAAACCGUGCAGCACUAGCUGUCGCAUUAAUGGCAGGAUACGCUGGUGUCGCAGCCCACAUCACUAUCUAUUCCGGGAAAGGAGGCAAGAGAGAUGUUGAGCCAACAAGGACAGAAAUCAGGAUUUGCCAAGUACAGCAAGCAUUCCUUCAUUAUUCUGGUGCCACAAACAAACACUUGACCCUCAAAAGACAAGACAGUUCAGCCGAAUAUCAUCAAAACCAGCCCGGUUUCUCCUUCAUCAGAUGGAAGGCUAAUGGACACAUUAGCUGCCUGCUCGUCCCUCUGCGGUGAUUAGGUGGCUGUGAGGUCAUCCCUUCACUUCUGCCUCCAUCAACAUCAAAGAUCUAUCAUUUCAUUACUGCCAUAGGGAGGAGAGAGGGAAGGAGCAGUGGCUGAAUCACCAGUUGAUCCAUACAGUCAUCCAUUUAUCCACAACAAAUGCUUGGGAGACUCGUGUCGAAUGCAGUCUUAAAAAUGGCAGUGUGAUUUGCUCAUGAAAGCACUCUGUGCUGGCAGGGAUUCUUUUACCCAAUGUAAAAGAAUUAUUUGUAUUGUUACACGAACAAUGAACCGUAAGGGAAAAUAAUGGAAUUUUUUUUUUUCUUCCUCUGCUCACCUCAGAAAAUCUGUUGACAGGAUAUCGUAAUGACAUUGGCCUCCAAUAGCAACAGUGAUGCUUCCACACUAAGCACCCAAAAGAUGGUGGCUGACUAACACAUUACUGUUUAGUUGAUUGAAGAGGACUGCACGUCAUGGGAACGUCUCUACUGAACGAGUCUGAUCCAGCUGUUGUCUUAGAGUGUUUUCUAAAAGUGGGGUGGAUUCACAAAAAGUGUAGAAGUAAAUGAAAGCCCGACAGCGUCGUGUGCACCCAGUUGUGAGUGUCCUGGAGAUUGUAUUGAUUGCUGCAGGAAGUUCAAUCUGAUGUUUCACAGCACUUCCUGAGUGCAUGGCGUUGCCGCUGAGAGUGAAAGCAGUGAGAUGUGAGGGUUGGGGAGGCGGUGUGACACAGGGGGAAGAAACCAGUUCAUGAAAACAUGAAAGGCUGAAAGACAAGGAGACAGCGAGACAUAACACCUCAAGAUUUGCCCUUGGGCCAAGACAAAACACCACCUCGCCUCUCAGUUUCCUCCCAGAAUACCAACCUCGCUGCACGGAAAAUGAAGCAAAUUUACCGCUCUCUACCUUGGGCCUAGAUGGGGUCUAAACUCUGGUUAAAGUGCAUCUUGUGAACGAAUGUUUGCUGAAAUGUGAUUACUCACCUAUAAAUCCAUCCAUCUCGCCAUUAUCUACCUCUUUUCCGGGUUGGGUCGUGGGGGAAGUAGCUUCAACAGGCAUACCCAGACUUCCCUUUCCCCAGCCACUUCUCCCAGCUCUUCCAGACGGAUCCCGAGGCGUUCCCAAGCCAGCCGAGAGACAUAGUCUCUCCAGCGUGUCCUGGGUCGUCCUCGGGGUCUCUUUCUGGUGGGACAUGCCCGGAACACCUAACCAGGGAAGGGUCCAGGAGGCAUCCGAAUGAGAUGCCCCAGCCGUCUCAUCUGGCUCCUCUCAAUGCGGAAGAGCAGCGGUUCGACACUGAACCCCUCCCGGAUGACCGAGCUUCUCACCGUAUCUCGGAGAGAGAGCCUGGACACCCUGCGGAGGAAACUCAUUUCGGCCGCUAGUAUCCGGAAUUUUGUUCUUUCGGUCACGACCCACAGCUCAUGCCCAUAGGUGAGGGUAGGAGCAUAGAUCAACUGCUAAAUUGAGAGCUUUGCCUUUCGACUUAGCUCCCUCACCUAUAAAGGCAUCCAUCCGUUUCCUUCGCCGUGUAUCCUCACAAGGGUCACAGAGAGUGCUGGACCUUAUCCCAGCUGUCGACGGGCAGGAGGCGGGGUACACCAUGAACUGGUUGCCAGCCAAUCGCAGCCCACAUAGAGACAAAAAGCCACACUCACAAUCACACCUAGGGGCAAUUUAGAGUGUCCAAUUAAUGUUGCGUGUUUUUGGGUUAAGGGAGGGAAUCAGAGUGCCUGGAGAAAACCCACGCAGGCACGGGUACGACAUGCAAACUCCACACAGGUGGGUCUGGGAAUGAAUCUGGGACCUCGGAAGUGUGAGACCAAUGCGUUCCAGCUGAUCCACCGUGCAGCCCUUUAAAUGCAGCCAGUACUUAAUAUGUGAAGCAUUGUCGGCUUCAGCUGUAGUACGUUGUAGUGCCAGAGCUGAGUUUAAAGGCUUAUUUAUACUUGCGCGUGCGGCGACCGCACUGAUGUCACUGCGGCGCUCCUGCUCGUACUUUACCAUUAUACUCGAGGGUAACCCUGGCAUGCAGUUUUGAAAAUCUGCUGCAAUUCUCCUCCAAGUCAGAGGCGUCGCUACGGCCAGUAUUGGCAAGGACGCCAUAGGGUGGCCGUUUUCCAGCACUUUUUGGUCAU
Syngnathoides biaculeatus (alligator pipefish) is the source of this 2657-nucleotide long non-coding RNA. RefSeq lists it as uncharacterized. Lineage: Eukaryota; Metazoa; Chordata; Actinopteri; Syngnathiformes; Syngnathidae. The transcript is spliced from 4 exons. The record is from RefSeq and is a predicted model, not a curated record.